Molecule: small RNA, 652 nt
Filed under: Histoplasma capsulatum
Lineage: Eukaryota; Fungi; Ascomycota; Eurotiomycetes; Onygenales; Ajellomycetaceae
Also listed under: 1 other name
Description: hypothetical RNA
Source: RNAcentral
ACGCAACGAAGUACUGGGGACUAGAUCUAUCGUUCGAAUCUUAUCUCUGCGUUGGGCCCUGGUUGUAUGCCGGAGAAUAGCGGAUGAGGUAUACCUGACAGUAUUCAACAGGGCUCUCAUCAUUGAUUCUAAGGCAUCUCUCGUCGAUACUAGUAUCCAGUCGCAAUUACUGAGGUGUUUUGUGACAUUCCUGGUCCAAUGGAGAAAUUUGGAUGCUGCCAGGAUGCUGCCUCUCUUGAUCGGUGUGCCGGGAUGUUUCUCUUCAAAGAUGACCCAUACAUAGCACAGCGAACUCAGCUCGGGUGGGUACGAUGAACCUUGCUUGCAGCCAGGCGAAGGAACAUAUGUAUGAGGGAUAAAGAACAGUAAGCAAUACAACGAGGAGUGCGGCUGGUAAAUCCGAAUCAUGGGGUAGAGCUCCCACAUUGUCGAGCUUCAAACCGAUAAGUUCGGAGGCCUUCUUGUGCAAACGGACUGUUCGGUGCAUGGUAAUAGACUCCUUCCGUUUGUAAUGGGAUGGUUUGCAUUGGGGAGAAACGACCGUUCUCAAGAAGUCCUGCCAGUGCUAAGAUUCGAACGGACAAGGGACAACUAUUUAAACGGAAAUAUAAUUAGACUUCUAUCUGGUACCUAGGGUACAAACUCAACACCC